Molecule: ribosomal RNA, 500 nt
Filed under: uncultured bacterium
Lineage: Bacteria
Description: partial 16S ribosomal RNA
Rfam family: Bacterial small subunit ribosomal RNA
Source: RNAcentral
AUUGAACGCUGGCGGCAUGCCUUACACAUGCAAGUCGAACGGCAGCACGGGAGCAAUCCUGGUGGCGAGUGGCGAACGGGUGAGUAAAGUAUCGGAACGUGCCCAGUCGUGGGGGAUAACGUAGCGAAAGUUACGCUAAUACCGCAUACGAUCUAUGGAUGAAAGCGGGGGAUCGCAAGACCUCGCGCGAUUGGAGCGGCCGAUAGCAGAUUAGGUAGUUGGUGGGGUAAAGGCUCACCAAGCCGACGAUCUGUAGCUGGUCUGAGAGGACGACCAGCCACACUGGGGCUGAGACACGGCCCAGACUCCUACGGGAGGCAGCAGUGGGGAAUUUUGGACAAUGGGCGCAAGCCUGAUCCAGCCAUGCCGCGUGCAGGAUGAAGGCCUUCGGGUUGUAAACUGCUUUUGUACGGAACGAAAAGGUUUGACUUAAUACGUUGGACUCAUGACGGUACCGUAAGAAUAAGCACCGGCUAACUACGUGCCAGCAGCCGCCGCAG